AUGAUGACCGGGGUGCAAAAAGCAAAAAAUACAAACGAGCAGGAAAUGCACAUGGUGUCGGCGGAUGCGGUACAAGCAAACGUUCUUGCUUCUGUAGCAUAUGGUGCGAUCCAGGACACGACAGCACCACCUGUCCGCAAAAGGGUGAUCUUCCUCAAAAAUAAAGGCAGGAAGCUAAAUGUUCAAACUGUGGUGUCAGUGGUCACAGAAAGAACACCUGCAACAAGCCUAAGGUGGUUCUGCAUGUUGUUGAAAAUGCUACUUUACAGGAAAAUGAAACCUGUGGGUGAGUUCAGUUUUUCUUUGUGUGUCGUUGAGGGCUCCGUAGCCGUUAUGUGUAAUGACAACACUAAGCACACUGUGAUGUUUGUUUCAGUUCAUCUGUGUUGUGUGCAUGUUUAUCACAAUUACUACUGUUUUUCACAUGGGUAG
Molecule: ribosomal RNA, 432 nt
Filed under: Triticum aestivum (bread wheat)
Lineage: Eukaryota; Viridiplantae; Streptophyta; Magnoliopsida; Poales; Poaceae
Description: partial small subunit ribosomal RNA
Source: RNAcentral